Molecule: ribosomal RNA, 297 nt
Filed under: Candidatus Magasanikbacteria bacterium CG_4_10_14_0_2_um_filter_41_10
Lineage: Bacteria; Candidatus Magasanikiibacteriota
Description: partial 16S ribosomal RNA
Rfam family: Bacterial small subunit ribosomal RNA
Source: RNAcentral
UUUCAUUGAGAGUUUGAUCCUGGCUCAGGACGAACGUUGGCGGCGUGUCUAAGGCAUGCAAGUCGAGGGAUCGGAUAGGUGCUUGCAUCUAUUACGGACCGGCAAACGGGUGAGUAACACAUUGGUAACCUACCUCUGAGUCAAGCAUAGCCCACCGAAAGGUGGAUUAAUACUUGAUGGUUAUGGGGGGACGAAAGUCAUUCCCAUAUAAAGAUUUAUCGCUCAGAGAGGGGCCUAUGUCUGAUUAGCUUGUUGGUAGGGUAAUGGCCUACCAAGGCUCUGAUCAGUAGCAGGCGU